This 397-nucleotide ribosomal RNA is filed under the name Klebsiella pneumoniae. Its description in RNAcentral is "bacterial SSU rRNA". It matches the Rfam family "Bacterial small subunit ribosomal RNA", at positions 1 to 392 of the family's 1533-position model. The record is from RNAcentral. Lineage: Bacteria; Pseudomonadati; Pseudomonadota; Gammaproteobacteria; Enterobacterales; Enterobacteriaceae.
ACUUAAAUUGAAGAGUUUGAUCAUGGCUCAGAUUGAACGCUGGCGGCAGGCCUAACACAUGCAAGUCGAGCGGUAGCACAGAGAGCUUGCUCUCGGGUGACGAGCGGCGGACGGGUGAGUAAUGUCUGGGAAACUGCCUGAUGGAGGGGGAUAACUACUGGAAACGGUAGCUAAUACCGCAUAACGUCGCAAGACCAAAGUGGGGGACCUUCGGGCCUCAUGCCAUCAGAUGUGCCCAGAUGGGAUUAGCUAGUAGGUGGGGUAAUGGCUCACCUAGGCGACGAUCCCUAGCUGGUCUGAGAGGAUGACCAGCCACACUGGAACUGAGACACGGUCCAGACUCCUACGGGAGGCAGCAGUGGGGAAUAUUGCACAAUGGGCGCAAGCCUGAUGCAGC